Molecule: non-coding RNA, 61 nt
Filed under: human gut metagenome
Description: GP20-b RNA
Rfam family: GP20-b RNA
Source: RNAcentral
GCCUGUCCCGCAGGCGUAAAAGGCGCGGGAGCCCAGGUGACGCGACCACCUAAAAAGCGUA